This 71-nucleotide transfer RNA is filed under the name Bos taurus (domestic cattle). It matches the Rfam family "tRNA". Rfam says of the family: Transfer RNA (tRNA) molecules are approximately 80 nucleotides in length. Their secondary structure includes four short double-helical elements and three loops (D, anti-codon, and T loops). RNAcentral also lists the same sequence under 5 other names. The record is from Rfam by way of RNAcentral. Lineage: Eukaryota; Metazoa; Chordata; Mammalia; Artiodactyla; Bovidae.
UCCCAGGUGGCUCAGUGGUAAAGAACCUGCCUGCCAAGCAGGAGACACAGGUUCAAUCCCUGGGUCGGGAA